Molecule: ribosomal RNA, 465 nt
Filed under: Vreelandella stevensii
Lineage: Bacteria; Pseudomonadati; Pseudomonadota; Gammaproteobacteria; Oceanospirillales; Halomonadaceae
Description: partial 16S ribosomal RNA
Rfam family: Bacterial small subunit ribosomal RNA
Source: RNAcentral
CCUACGGGUGGCAGCAGUGGGGAAUAUUGGACAAUGGGCGAAAGCCUGAUCCAGCCAUGCCGCGUGUGUGAAGAAGGCCUUCGGGUUGUAAAGCACUUUCAGUGGGGAAGAAAGCCUUGGGGCUAAUACCCUCGAGGAAGGACAUCACCCACAGAAGAAGCACCGGCUAACUCCGGGCCAGCAGCCGCGGUAAUACGGAGGGUGCGAGCGUUAAUCGGAAUUACUGGGCGUAAAGCGCGCGUAGGCGGUCUGAUAAGCCGGUUGUGAAAGCCCCGGGCUCAACCUGGGAACGGCAUCCGGAACUGUCAGGCUAGAGUGCAGGAGAGGAAGGUAGAAUUCCCGGUGUAGCGGUGAAAUGCGUAGAGAUCGGGAGGAAUACCAGUGGCGAAGGCGGCCUUCUGGACUGACACUGACGCUGAGGUGCGAAAGCGUGGGUAGCAAACAGGAUUAGAUACCCUAGUAGUC